AUUGAACGCUGGCGGCAGGCCUAACACAUGCAAGUCGAACGAGUGGCGGACGGGUGAGUACUUUCUUGGAAACUGCCCCAUGUAGGGGGGUAACUACUGGAAACGGUCUCUAAUACCGCAUACCAUCGGAUGUUCCCAGAUGGGAUUAGCUAGUAGGUGGGGUAACGGCUCACCUAGGCGACGAUCCCUAGCUGGUCUGCGAUGAUGACCAGCCACACUGGACAUGAUAUACGGUCCAGACUCCUACGGGAGGCAGAAGUGGGGAAUAUUGCACAAUGGGCGCAAGCCUGAUGCAGCCAUGCCGCGUGUAUGAAGAAGGCCUUCGGGUUGGAAAGUACGUUCAGCGAGGAGGCGUUACUCGCAGAAGAAGCACCGGCUAACUCCGGGCCAGCAGCCGCGGUAAUUC
Molecule: ribosomal RNA, 406 nt
Filed under: uncultured bacterium
Lineage: Bacteria
Description: partial 16S ribosomal RNA
Rfam family: Bacterial small subunit ribosomal RNA
Source: RNAcentral